UACGAAGGGGGCUAGCGUUGCUCGGAAUGACUGGGCGUAAAGGGCGCGUAGGCGGUUUGUACAGUCAGGUGUGAAAUUCCCGGGCUCAACCUGGGGGCUGCACUUGAUACGUAUGGGCUGGAGUGGGGAAGAGGGUCGUGGAAUUCCCAGUGUAGAGGUGAAAUUCGUAGAUAUUGGGAAGAACACCGGUGGCGAAGGCGGCGACCUGGUCCUUGACUGACGCUGAGGCGCGAAAGCGUGGGGAGCAAACAGG
Molecule: ribosomal RNA, 253 nt
Filed under: uncultured bacterium
Lineage: Bacteria
Description: partial 16S ribosomal RNA
Rfam family: Bacterial small subunit ribosomal RNA
Source: RNAcentral